Molecule: transfer RNA, 96 nt
Filed under: Candidatus Woesearchaeota archaeon CG_4_10_14_0_2_um_filter_33_13
Lineage: Archaea; Nanobdellati; Candidatus Woesearchaeota
Description: tRNA-Arg
Rfam family: tRNA
About the family: Transfer RNA (tRNA) molecules are approximately 80 nucleotides in length. Their secondary structure includes four short double-helical elements and three loops (D, anti-codon, and T loops). Further hydrogen bonds mediate the characteristic L-shaped molecular structure. tRNAs have two regions of fundamental functional importance: the anti-codon, which is responsible for specific mRNA codon recognition, and the 3' end, to which the tRNAs corresponding amino acid is attached (by aminoacyl-tRNA synthetases). tRNAs cope with the degeneracy of the genetic code in two manners: having more than one tRNA (with a specific anti-codon) for a particular amino acid; and 'wobble' base-pairing, i.e. permitting non-standard base-pairing at the 3rd anti-codon position.
Source: RNAcentral
GGACCCGUGGCCUAGCAUGGAUGGGGCGACAGAAUAAUUAUAUUCCGCAAAUGCCUCCUAAGCAGUAGAUCGUGAGUUCAAAUCUCACCGGGUCCG